UGGGGAAUAUUUCACAAUGGAGGGAACUCUGAUGCAGCGACGCCGCGUGAGUGAUGAAGGACUUCGUUUCGUAAAACUCUGUUCUAUGGGAAGAAAAGGACUGUACCAUAGGAGAAAGCUCCGGCUAAAUACGUGCCAGCAGCCGCGGUAAUACGUAUGGAGCGAGCGUUGUCCGGAAUUAUUGGGCGUAAAGGGUGCGCAGGCGGCUUUACAAGUUGGAUGUGAAAUAUUGUGGCUCAACCACAAACGUGCAUCCAAAACUGCAAAGCUUGAGUUAAGGAGAGGUAAGUGGAAUUCCUGGUGUAGCGGUGGAAUGCGUAGAUAUCAGGAGGAAUACCGGUGGCGAAGGCGACUUACUGGACUUAAACUGACGCUCAGGCACGAAAGCGUGGGGAGCAAACAGG
Molecule: ribosomal RNA, 404 nt
Filed under: Fusobacteriota bacterium
Lineage: Bacteria; Fusobacteriati; Fusobacteriota
Description: Fusobacteria bacterium partial 16S ribosomal RNA
Rfam family: Bacterial small subunit ribosomal RNA
Source: RNAcentral